AGCGAAAAACUGCUAUUAGGUAACGUCAGAUUUUUCGUCCAUAAAUGCCGAACCAUAACGCUAACCCUAAAUCCUGACCAUAAAGGCAAAUGUCAAACAAUAAAGGCAAAUGCAAAAAUAAUUAAAUUUCGACUCGAUGGAUUCUGAUCAAACAAAAUGCCACUGUGUAGUGCAUGA
Molecule: long non-coding RNA, 177 nt
Organism: Bradysia coprophila
Lineage: Eukaryota; Metazoa; Arthropoda; Insecta; Diptera; Sciaridae
Source: RefSeq, a predicted model, not a curated record